Molecule: transfer RNA, 77 nt
Filed under: Rhizoctonia solani
Lineage: Eukaryota; Fungi; Basidiomycota; Agaricomycetes; Cantharellales; Ceratobasidiaceae
Description: tRNA-Tyr
Rfam family: tRNA
About the family: Transfer RNA (tRNA) molecules are approximately 80 nucleotides in length.
Source: RNAcentral
CCCUUGGUAGCUCAGCUGGAAGAGCGCAAGACUGUAAUUUCAUCUUGAGGCCAUCAGUUCGAUUCUGAUUCAAGGGA